UGUGAAACUAAAAAGUGCAAGACACGGGUUUAUUUUCUCAUGGCUUCUUAAAAAACUUUAAUGCAGAGGAAAUCUACCAAUAGAAAUGCGGUUUUUCUUACCACGUAAAAAAAGAAAAAAGCUCCGAACUUCAGGGCACUAUCAGUUCUGCAAGAGCUCGGUAAAGAGGACGGUACCAUAAGACGUAAGCUCCAGGUACCCCAGCAAUGAAGUAGAUGAUUGAGAGAAGCCAUAUAGUGGGACCUGAUUACAAAACAAAGCACAUCAGAUGAAUCAACAUGGUCAGAGGAAAUACCAUCAUGAAUCUGAUCGUUUGGGUAAAAACGCGGUCUAAGGCGGUUUACAUACCUAACAAUGUGGUGAAUGCGACGUAUUGGAUCUUCUGUAAAUGAAUUGGAAUCUCAUUUGGAAUGUCAUGAUGAAUUAUAGG
Long non-coding RNA from Arabidopsis lyrata subsp. lyrata, 430 nucleotides. RefSeq lists it as uncharacterized. The record is from RefSeq and is a predicted model, not a curated record. The transcript is spliced from 3 exons. NCBI's taxonomy places the organism in Eukaryota, Viridiplantae, Streptophyta, Magnoliopsida, Brassicales, Brassicaceae.